UAAAACUGUCACCACCGCUCAAGCCGGAGGCCGCUGUCGUGGUCGCAGCCCUCGACGCCCGGAGGCCCUUCCUCCCCUCCCUCGGGCACGGUGAGCUCGGCCGCCACCUUCCUUGGUCGCGGCGAGUUCGGCCGCAGCCGUGGGCCGCGCUGGUGGGUUUCUUUCCCCCACCGCAGUGGGAACGAGGGAGCCGUCGGCUCCGACCGCGAGCUCGGCCGGGGACGCCAUGGGCUCGGCCGCCGGGGCUCGGCCCCUCCGGAGAUCACCUUCCUCCCUUCGCGGGAGAAGAAAGGGGGAAGGAAAAGAGGGAUCGGGAGAACAGAAGAAAGGGAGGAGGAGGGAGGAGAGGGAAAGGAAGGUUCGGGAAGAAACAGGGAACAAGAAGAAAAAGAAGAAAAAAAAAAAAACAAAAAGGAAGAAUGGGUUAACGGGUUUGGUUUGUAUUAACUGGUUGAGUCCGAACCCGAAUCGGUCCAAUCCGAUUUCAAGAAAUUAAAAUGGAUUUGGGUUAGCUCGGGUUGGGUCUGAUCUAAAUCCAACUAGAUUCAAUCAGAUUGGAAUUUAAAUUGAUUAACCCAAACAAAAUUUAAAUAGGGUUGAGUCCAAAUUUAAUUGGAUCUGAACCCAAUUAAGUUGGACUGUGCAAUGAUUGGACUCGGGCUGGCCUUGGGCCGAACCCAAAGUAUUUAAAAUGGUGGAUUAAAUCGGAUUCAG
This 714-nucleotide long non-coding RNA is filed under the name Phoenix dactylifera (date palm). RNAcentral describes it as "long non-coding RNA (PDAC_LNC014732)". The record is from RNAcentral. Lineage: Eukaryota; Viridiplantae; Streptophyta; Magnoliopsida; Arecales; Arecaceae.